This 450-nucleotide ribosomal RNA is filed under the name uncultured bacterium. RNAcentral's name for it is "bacterial SSU rRNA". It matches the Rfam family "Bacterial small subunit ribosomal RNA", at positions 28 to 475 of the family's 1533-position model. The record is from RNAcentral.
GAUGAACGCUGGCGGCGUGCUUAACACAUGCAAGUCGAACGAAGCACUUUACCACGAUUCCUUCGGGAUGACGGUUUUGUGACUGAGUGGCGGACGGGUGAGUAACGCGUGGGGAACCUGCCCCAUACCGGGGGAUAACAGCCGGAAACGGCUGCUAAUACCGCAUAAGCGCACAGUACCGCAUGGUACGGUGUGAAAAACUCCGGUGGUAUGGGAUGGACCCGCGUCUGAUUAGCCAGUUGGCGGGGUAACGGCCCACCAAAGCGACGAUCAGUAGCCGGCCUGAGAGGGCGACCGGCCACAUUGGGACUGAGACACGGCCCAGACUCCUACGGGAGGCAGCAGUGGGGAAUAUUGCACAAUGGGGGAAACCCUGAUGCAGCGACGCCGCGUGAGUGAGGAAGUAUUUCGGUAUGUAAAGCUCUAUCAGCAGGGAAGAAGAAAUGACGG